AUACGAAGGGGGCUAGCGUUGUUCGGAAUCACCGGGCGUAAAGCGCGCGUAGGUGGACUAAUCAGUUGAGGGUGAAAUCCCGGGGCUCAACCUCGGAACUGCCUUCAAUACUGUUAGUCUUGAGACCGAGAGAGGUGAGUGGAAUUCCUAGUGUAGAGGUGAAAUUCGUGGAUAUUAGGAAGAACACCAGUGGCGAAGGCGGCUCACUGGCUCGGUACUGACGCUGAGGUGCGAAAGCGUGGGGAGCAAACAGGAUUAGAAACCCUAGUAGUCC
This 274-nucleotide ribosomal RNA is filed under the name uncultured bacterium. RNAcentral's name for it is "partial 16S ribosomal RNA". It matches the Rfam family "Bacterial small subunit ribosomal RNA", at positions 523 to 796 of the family's 1533-position model. The record is from RNAcentral.